Long non-coding RNA from Physella acuta, 394 nucleotides. RefSeq lists it as uncharacterized. The record is from RefSeq and is a predicted model, not a curated record. NCBI's taxonomy places the organism in Eukaryota, Metazoa, Mollusca, Gastropoda, Physidae.
GGUCCUGGCCUCAUGCCUGCUGGACGUGACGUCAUUGCAGACGUGAAGCAGCAGUACGACACUGACCGUCCAGCUACAUACCACACAAGGUCAAGGCGACCACAAUGGGUCAAGGUAAACAGAAGUGGAGGAGCUGAUGAAAAGGUUUUUUACCAAAAUCUGAGAUGACGGCAAACAAGUGACCUAGAAGGACAAAAUCCUUGACAUUGAAAGCCAACCAUCCAAGCUUGUCAUGGCGGUCAGCUUCAUCUUCCAGAGACAGCUGCUCCCAGCAUGGUGUCUUGUGUAGCUCCUGCUGGUAUACAGGUGCUUCAGCUGAUGCUUUAUGGGGAAACAAACACAACAUCUUGUUGCUACAUACAGCUGCAACCUGCACAACAAAACUAAAUAGUGG